This 100-nucleotide non-coding RNA is filed under the name Fusibacter sp. 3D3. RNAcentral's name for it is "Fusibacter sp. 3-D3-R-P8ASC2010 Purine riboswitch aptamer". It matches the Rfam family "Purine riboswitch aptamer". From Rfam's summary of the family: Riboswitches are metabolite binding domains within certain messenger RNAs that serve as precision sensors for their corresponding targets. Allosteric rearrangement of mRNA structure is mediated by ligand binding, and this results in modulation of gene expression. Lineage: Bacteria; Bacillati; Bacillota; Clostridia; Eubacteriales; Fusibacteraceae. RNAcentral also lists the same sequence under 1 other name. The record is from Rfam by way of RNAcentral.
GAAUAUAAAUUAAUAAAUCAUCGUAUAACCCCGUUAAUAUGGUAUGGGGGUUUCUACCAAGCACCUUAAACGCUUGAUUACGAGGAAGAUGCAGUGCGCA